GCCGAGGUCGCAUAACCUGGCAGUGCGCAGGAUUGCUAAUCCUGUUUCCGAAAGGAUAUCGGGGUUCAAAUCCCCGCCUCGGCG
Molecule: transfer RNA, 84 nt
Filed under: Nanobdellota archaeon
Lineage: Archaea; Nanobdellati; Nanobdellota
Description: tRNA-Ser
Rfam family: tRNA
About the family: Transfer RNA (tRNA) molecules are approximately 80 nucleotides in length. Their secondary structure includes four short double-helical elements and three loops (D, anti-codon, and T loops). Further hydrogen bonds mediate the characteristic L-shaped molecular structure. tRNAs have two regions of fundamental functional importance: the anti-codon, which is responsible for specific mRNA codon recognition, and the 3' end, to which the tRNAs corresponding amino acid is attached (by aminoacyl-tRNA synthetases). tRNAs cope with the degeneracy of the genetic code in two manners: having more than one tRNA (with a specific anti-codon) for a particular amino acid; and 'wobble' base-pairing, i.e. permitting non-standard base-pairing at the 3rd anti-codon position.
Source: RNAcentral